This 392-nucleotide ribosomal RNA is filed under the name uncultured bacterium. RNAcentral's name for it is "partial 16S ribosomal RNA". It matches the Rfam family "Bacterial small subunit ribosomal RNA", at positions 523 to 918 of the family's 1533-position model. The record is from RNAcentral.
AUACGUAGGGGGCGAGCGUUGUCCGGAAUUAUUGGGCGUAAAGGGUUCGCAGGCGGUCUGAUAAGUCAGAUGUGAAAGGCAAUGGCUCAACCAUUGUAAGCAUUUGGAACUGUCAGACUUGAGUUAAGGAGAGGAAAGUGGAAUUCCUAGGGUAGCGGUGAAAUGCGUAGAUAUUAGGAGGAAUACCAGUGGCGAAGGCGACUUUCUGGACUUAUACUGACACUGAGGAACGAAAGCGUGGGGAGCAAACAGGAUUAGAUUCCCUGGUAGUCCACGCCGUAAACGAUGAGUGCUAGGUGUUGGGGGUCAAACCUCGGUGCCGCAGCUAACGCAUUAAGCACUCCGCCUGGGGAGUACGUACGCAAGUAUGAAACUCAAAUGAAUUGACGGGG